RNAcentral lists this ribosomal RNA (466 nucleotides) under uncultured bacterium. RNAcentral's name for it is "partial 16S ribosomal RNA". It matches the Rfam family "Bacterial small subunit ribosomal RNA", at positions 28 to 506 of the family's 1533-position model. The record is from RNAcentral.
GACGAACGCUGGCGGCGUGCUUAACACAUGCAAGUCGAACGGUAAGGCCCCUUUCGGGGGGUACUCGAGUGGCGAACGGGUGAGUAACACGUGAGUAACCUGCCCUUGACUUUGGGAUAACUCCAGGAAACUGGGGCUAAUACCGGAUAGGAGCUCCCGCCGCAUGGUGGGGGUUGGAAAGUUUCGGCGGUUGGGGAUGGACUCGCGGCUUAUCAGCUUGUUGGUGGGGUAGUGGCUUACCAAGGCUUUGACGGGUAGCCGGCCUGAGAGGGUGACCGGCCACAUUGGGACUGAGAUACGGCCCAGACUCCUACGGGAGGCAGCAGUGGGGAAUAUUGCACAAUGGGUGGAAGCCUGAUGCAGCAACGCCGUGUGCGGGAUGACGGCCUUCGGGUUGUAAACCGCUUUCGCUCGUGACGAAGCUUUGGGGAAGGGAAGUGGAGAAGGAGGAACGGGCAAACUACUG